GAUCCUGGCUCAGGACGAACGCUGGCGGCGCGCCUAACACAUGCAAGUCGAACGGAAUCAAGAGGAGCUUGCUUUUCUUGAUUUAGUGGCGAACGGGUGAGUAACGCGUGAGUAACCUGCCCUGGAGUGGGGGACAACAGUUGGAAACGACUGCUAAUACCGCAUAAGCCCACGGUACCGCAUGGUACUGAGGGAAAAGGAUUUAUUCGCUUCAGGAUGGACUCGCGUCCAAUUAGCUAGUUGGUGAGGUAACGG
Molecule: ribosomal RNA, 255 nt
Filed under: uncultured bacterium
Lineage: Bacteria
Description: partial 16S ribosomal RNA
Rfam family: Bacterial small subunit ribosomal RNA
Source: RNAcentral